GACGAACGCUGGCGGCGUGCCUAAUACAUGCAAGUUGAGCGCUGAAGGUUGGUACUUGUACCGACUGGAUGAGCAGCGAACGGGUGAGUAACGCGUGGGGAAUCUGCCUUUGAGCGGGGGACAACAUUUGGAAACGAAUGCUAAUACCGCAUAAAAACUUUAAACACACGUUUUAAGUUUGAAAGAUCCAAUUGCAUCACUCAAAGAUGAUCCCGCGUUGGAUUAGCUAGUUGGUGAGGUAAAGGCUCACCAAGGCGAUGAUACAUAGCCGACCUGAGAGGGUGAUCGGCCACAUUGGGACUGAGACACGGCACAAACUCCUACGGGAGGCAGCAGUAGGGAAUCGUCGGCAAUGGACGAAAGUCUGACCGAGCAACGCCGCGUGAGUGAAGAAGGUUUUCGGAUCGUAAAACUCUGUUGGUAGAGAAGAACGUUGGUGAGAGUGGAAAGCUCAUCAAGUGACGGUAACUACCCAGAAAGGGACGGCUAACUACGUGCCAGCCGCCGCAGUAA
RNAcentral lists this ribosomal RNA (513 nucleotides) under uncultured bacterium. RNAcentral describes it as "partial 16S ribosomal RNA". It matches the Rfam family "Bacterial small subunit ribosomal RNA", at positions 28 to 523 of the family's 1533-position model. The record is from RNAcentral.